CGGUAGCAGCUUGCUCUGGAUUCAGCGGCGGACGGGUGAGUAAUGCCUAGGAAUCUGCCUGGUAGUGGGGGAUAACGUCCGGAAACGGGCGCUAAUACCGCAUACGUCCUGAGGGAGAAAGUGGGGGAUCUUCGGACCUCACGCUAUCAGAUGAGCCUAGGUCGGAUUAGCUAGUUGGUGGGGUAAAGGCCUACCAAGGCGACGAUCCGUAACUGGUCUGAGAGGAUGAUCAGUCACACUGGAACUGAGACACGGUCCAGACUCCUACGGGAGGCAGCAGUGGGGAAUAUUGGACAAUGGGCGAAAGCCUGAUCCAGCCAUGCCGCGUGUGUGAAGAAGGUCUUCGGAUUGUAAAGCACUUUAAGUUGGGAGGAAGGGCAGUAAGUUAAUACCUUGCUGUUUUGACGUUACCAACAGAAUAAGCACCGGCUAACUUCGUGCCAGCAGCCGCGGUAAUACGAAGGGUGCAAGCGUUAAUCGGAAUUACUGGGCGUAAAGCGCGCGUAGGUGGUUCAGCAAGUUGGAUGUGAAAUCCCCGGGCUCAACCUGGGAACUGCAUCCAAAACUACUGAGCUAGAGUACGGUAGAGGGUGGUGGAAUUUCCUGUGUAGCGGUGAAAUGCGUAGAUAUAGGAAGGAACACCAGUGGCGAAGGCGACCACCUGGACUGAUACUGACACUGAGGUGCGAAAGCGUGGGGAGCAAACAGGAUUAGAUACCCUGGUAGUCCACGCCGUAACGAUGUCGACUAGCCGUUGGGAUCCUUGAGAUCUUAGUGGCGCAGCUAACGCGAUAAGUCGACCGCCUGGGGGAGUACGGCCGCAAGGUUUAAAACUCAAAUGAAUUUGACGGGGGGGCCCGCACAAAGCGGUGGGAAGCAUGGUGGGUUUUAAACUC
Molecule: ribosomal RNA, 896 nt
Filed under: Pseudomonas aeruginosa
Lineage: Bacteria; Pseudomonadati; Pseudomonadota; Gammaproteobacteria; Pseudomonadales; Pseudomonadaceae
Description: bacterial SSU rRNA
Rfam family: Bacterial small subunit ribosomal RNA
Source: RNAcentral